AUCCUGAUUUUUUGAAAGAAAAAUUCCCGACUUUUUGAAAGAAAAAAAUCCCAACUAUUCGACAGAAAAAUCCCGACUUUUUAACAGAAAGAAUUUCAACUUUUUGACGGAAGAAAAUCCCAAUUUUUUGACGGAAAAAAUCCCAAUUUUUUGAUGGAAAAAAUUAUGCUUAUUUGACUGCAAAAAUGCCGACUUCUUGACAGAAAAAAAAAUCCCGAUUGUUUGACGGGAAAAAAAAUCCAGACUCGAUAGAAAAAAAUCCAGAUUUUUUUUUUACCAAAAAAAACCCCCGUUUUGACGGAUUUAAACAAUUCCAACAGCAACCAAUUCAGCGCAAAAAUUCCCAAAUUUCCAGGAAGUUCCAAUUGAACUGAAUGGGACAUUUUUUCCAAGUUGCACAAUUCCCACAUUUUUCAAACCAUCCCAACAUCAAAACAUUCCACUCAUCCAACUAAAACUUUCCCAAGCUCCAAACCAAAUUCCAGUUUUUCCUGGAAAUUCGAACUUUUCUUACAUCCGUCCUACAUUCUGUCAGCAUGUAUUUAUGAUGUUUUCAUGUUAGCUCGGAUGUCAGAGUCCUGCCUCAAGUAAUGAUCGUGGGUACGCUCGCUCCCAGAUAAGAUUUUGCUCUACACAGCCCAGAAAUAAAUAGCAAUUAGUGCGGUAGAACAAUGUUGUUGGGGAACAUUUCACUUUGGGAACGGUUAGAACAUAAAUCCAUAAACACAGACCUGGAAUGCUUGACGACGUCUCUUCGUGUAAACAACGCUGGCACUGAAGGCCGCUGUGGGUGUGAUAAGAGAUCACAGAGGAUUUUUGGGUAAUUGCUCAGCUAAAUUCCUGGUAGAGGAAGCGUUUCCAUAGCAGUCGUCAGCGGGCAUAGAGCAAUUUGCCCCGCUGCAAAAGGCUUUGGGCGUGUGCAAAAACAAGCAAACACGAAUAAAAACACGAAAUAUAUCAUCCAUUAUCCAUGAAAAUAUGAAUAAGGAGAAGCUGCCGAUGGUGUGUUUGACAGAAAAGCAGCUCGAAAAGAAGGUAAAUACCCACACAUUUUUAUUGAUUAACUAAUAAAUGUGUGGUGUGUUCUAGUGCACAGGUGUCAAGGUCAAGGCUCCAUUCCGCAAACAUUUAUCCAUGAAAAUAUGGGUAAGAAGAAGAUUUUUUGACAAAAAAAAUCUCAACUUUUUGAAAGAAAAUUCCUAUCUUUUUGAUAGAAAAAAUGCUGACUUUUUGACAGAAAACAAUCCCGACUUUUUGACAGAAAAAAUUGCUGACUUAAAAAAAAAAAAAAAAAAAAUCCCGAUUUUUGGAAAGAAACAAUCCCGACUUUUUGACAAAAUAAAUGGCAACAUUUUGACAGAAAAAAUACAGACUUUUUGACAGAAAAAAUGCAGACUUUUGGACAGAAAAAAUGCAGACUUCUUUACAGAAAAAAAUGCAGAUUUUUUCACAGAACAGAUGCAGACUUUUUGACAGAAAAAAAUGCCGACUUUUUCACAGAAAUAAUGCCGACUUUUUCACAGAAAAAAUGCCUACUUGACGGAAAAAAUGCAGACUUUUUGACGGAAAAAAAACCCCAAAUUCUGACCGAAAAAAUCCUGACUUUUGGACGGAAAAAAUCCAGACUUUUUAACAAAAAAAUUCCAACUUUUUGACAGGAAAAAUGCAGAUUUUUUUUACAGAAAAAAUGCCGCCCUUUUGACGGGAAAAAUGCUAACUUUUUGACAGAAACCCCCUCCCCCCCAAUUUUUGGACUGAAAAUAUGCAGACUUUUUGAAAGAAAAAUUCUCGACUUUUUAAAAAAAAAAAAAGAUGACUUUGUAACAGAAAAAAAAUCCCGAUUUUUUUGAAAGAAAAAAUCACGACUUUUUGACAAAAUAAAUGGCAACAUUUUGACAGAAAAAAUGCUGACUCUUUGACCGAAAAUCGCCGACUUUUCGACAGGAAAAACGCAGACUUCUUGGCAGAAAAAAAUCCUGAUUUUUUUGACAAAAAAAAUCCUGAUUUUAUUGACGGAAAAAAUAUCGACUUUUUGAAAGAAAUAUUCCAGACUUUUUAACAGAAAAAAUCAGGACUUUUUGAAAGAAAAAAAUCCCGACUUUUUGACAGAAAAAAAUCCCGACUUUUUGACGGACAAAAAAUCCUGACUUUUUGACAGAAAAAAUCCCUAUUUCUUGAAAAAAAGAAUCCCGAAGCUGCUGAUGGUGUGUUUGACAGAGAAACAGCUCACAGAUGCUACAAAAGAAGGUAAAUACCUGCACAUUUUUAUUCCUCUAAUUAAGCAAUGUGUGGUGUGUUCUCGUGCACAGGUGUUGAACUCAAAGCUCCCAUCCAGCAAAUAUUUAUCCGUGAAAAUAUGAGUAAGGAGAAGCUGCUGAUGGUGUGUUUGACAGAGAAGCAGCGCGCAGCGGCUAGAAAAGAAGGUUUUGGAGUGACACACGUUACCGUCCGAGCUACAUUAUUGUGGACGCCCCUGCUUAUUUCAGCAAGACGGCGGUUGAGUAUUCUGUCGCUCACUGGUGGGUGAGACCUCAAAAUUUGUCAUGGGUAACUUUCACGUCUGUGUAAUGCUCAAAAAGAUACAGGUUUUGGAGCGACACAUGUUGCCGUCCGAGCCGCGUUAUCGUGGACGCCCCUGCUUAUUUCAGCAAGACGGCGGCUGCGCCAUAAAUCGCUCACCGUUGAGUUUUGGAGCGACACAUGUUGCCGUCCAAGCCACGUUAUCGUGGACGCCCCUGCUUAUUUCAGCAAGACGGCGGCUGCACCCUCCAUCGCUCACCGUUGGGUUUUGGAGCGACACAUGUUGCCGUCCGAGCAAUGUUAUCAUGGACGCCCCUGCUUAUUUCAGCAAGACGGCGGCUGUGCUUUCCGUCGCUCACCAGUGGGUGAGUCCUCACACUAAGGCACAGGUAACUUACACGUCUGUGUAACGCUGAAAAUGUAUUUACAGGUUUUGGAGCGACACAUGUUGCCGUUCGAGCAAUGUUAUCAUGGACGCCCCUGCUUAUUUCAGCAAGACGGCGACUGCGCUGUCCGUCGCUCACCGGCAUUGAAAAAAUCCGGAGAAAUCACCGCACGUAAGCCAUGAUAUUAUGGACCUUGGAUACCUGCUUCAAAAAGCCACAUUGGUGUGUAAAGGAUAUCACCACCUGGGCUCAGGAACAGUUCAGUAAACCAUUGUCAGUAACUACGGUCGGUUGCUACAUCUGUAAGUGCAAGUUAAACUCUACUAUGCAAAGCCAAAGUAAUUUAUCAACAACACCCAGAAACGCCAAACGGCUCCGCAGGGCCCGAGCUCCUCUAAAAUGGACUGAUGCAAAGUGGGAAAAUCAUUCCCUGGUCUGACGAGUCCACAAUGAACAGGCGUCUUCGUCCGAUCAAGUCCAAGAUCUGAUGUGGGAUUCGCAAGCUCUCAGGCACAUCGAGCGUAAUUGACGAAUCAAAAGUGCCAAGAGUUUCCCACGCGCUCCAGACUCCGGUCUUCACCUCAACCGUGGAGGUAGGAAGUGGAGGGAAAGUCCCCUGUAGUCCCUGAGAACCUCCACUCCAAAAAGGACGCACAAUUUGUUGGUUGUCUUAUCACGAUGUUGCAAAAAGCAGACGCUGUAGGUGCACACGCGGGCCAGGCGAGGAGCUACGGCCCGGCCGACCCAUUAGCUGCCUGAUAAUCGGGGGACUAACUGAUGGAGACGAAGCCAAGUGGAGGAAGCAGACGGACUCCCUGAGUGGGACCGAGGCGGGAUCGUUAUGGACGCGGGUAAACGUCCUCCCGCACCUUCCGCCAUGAAGGAAAUGUUGCCCACCAGAGACUAUUAGAAAGGUUGCCCACCAGAGACUAUUACACUAUUAGCGGUGGAGAACGGAAACAGAGCGAUUGGGCCUUUCUGCCGUUUCUUUCGCCCGUCAACUUGCACACUUUGUGACCCGGAAGUCUGAAUGUCACUGAAACAUUUAGCGCCAUCUUUUGACUGUAUUUAUAUUAUUCAUGUGUAUAAUGCCUGUAUUUAUGUUAUUCACGUGUGAAUAAUGCUGUAUAAUAGACUAAUUAUACUAUUCACAUUUGAAUAAUGCUGUAUAAUAGACUGUAUUUCUAUUAUUCACACGUGAAUAAUGCUGUAUAAUAGACUAAUUAUAUUAUUCACAUGUGAAUAAUGAUGUAUAACAGACUGUAUUUAUAUUAUUCACAUGUAAAUAAUGCUGUAUAAUAAGACUGUAUUUAUGUUAUUCACGUGUGAAUAAUGCUGUAUAAUAGACUGUGUUUAUAUUAUUCACAUGUGAAUAAUGCUGUAUAAUAGACGGUAAUUAUGUUAUUCACAUGUGAAUAUUGAUGUAUAACAGACUGUAUUUAUUUUAUUCACAUGUGAAUAAUGCUGUAUAACAGACUGUAUUUAUAAUAUUCACAUGUGAAUAAUGCUGUGUAAUAGACUAUAUUAUUCACAUGUAAAUAAUAAUGUAUAAUAGACUGUAUUUAUUUUAUUCACAUGUGAAUAAUGAUGUAUGACUGUAUUUGUUAUUCACAUGUGAAUAAUGCUAUAUAAUAGACUGUAUUUAUAUUAUUUACAUGUGAAUAAUAAUUUAUAAUUGACUGUAUUUGUUAUUCACGUGUAAAUAAUGCUGUAUAAUGGACUGUAUUUAUAUUAUUUACAUGUAAAUAAUGUUGUAUAAUAGACUGUAUUUAUGUUAUACACAUGUGAAUAAUGCUGUAUAAUAGACUGUAUUUAUGUUAUUCACAUGUAAAUAUUGCUGUAUAAUAGACUGUAUUUAUGUUAUUCAGGUGUGAAUAAUGCUGUAUAAUAGACUGUUUAUAUAAUUAACAUGUGAAUAAUGCUGUAUAAUAGACUGUAUUUAUGUUAUUCACGUGUAAAUAAUGAUGUAUAACAGACUAUAUUAUUCACAUGUGAAUAAUGCUGUAUAAUAGACUGUAUUUAUGUUAUUCACGUGCAAAUAAUGAUGUAUAACAGACUAUAUUUAUAUUAUUCACAUGUGAAUAAUGCCGUAUAAUAGACUAUUUAUGUUAUUCACGUGUAAAUAAUGCUGUAUAAUAGAUUGUAUUUAUGUUAUUCACAUGUGAAUAAUGUUGUAUAAUAGACUGUAUUUAUAUUAUUCACACGUGAAUAAUGCCGUAAAUUGGACUGUAUUUAUGUUAUUCACAUGUGAUUAAUGAUGUAUAAUAGACUGUUUAUACUAUUCACAUGUGAAUAAUGCUGUAUAAUGUACUAUAUUAUUAUUUACACGUGAAUAAUGCUGUAUAAUAGACUAUUUAUAUUAUUCACAUGUGAAUAAUGCUGUAUAAUAGACUGUAUGUUAUUCACGUGUAAAUAAUGCUGUAUAAUAGAUUGUAUUUAUGUUAUUCACUUGUGAAUUAUGCCGUAUAAUAGACUGGAUUUAUAUUAUUCACAUAUGAAUAAUGCCGUAUAAUAGACUGUAUUUAUGUUAUUUACAUGUGAUUAAUGAUGUAUAAUAGACUGUUUAUAAUAUUCCCAUGUGAAUAAUGCUGUAUAAUGGACUAUAUUAAUAUUAUUCAUAUGUGAAUAACGCUGUAUAAUAGACUGUAUUUAUGUUAUUCACAUGUAAAAAAUACCUAAGUGUUUAUUGUCUACUGUGAGUGAACUGUGGUGCUGAAUUUCCCCCAGGGAUCAAUAAAGUACUUUCUAUUC
Nerophis ophidion (straightnose pipefish) is the source of this 5657-nucleotide long non-coding RNA. RefSeq lists it as uncharacterized. The record is from RefSeq and is a predicted model, not a curated record. Lineage: Eukaryota; Metazoa; Chordata; Actinopteri; Syngnathiformes; Syngnathidae. The transcript is spliced from 5 exons.